GGAGAUAUAGCUCAGUUGGUUAGAGCGCACGCCUGAUAAGCGUGAGGUCGGUGGUUCAAAUCCACCUAUCUCCACCA
Molecule: transfer RNA, 77 nt
Filed under: Pseudomonadota bacterium
Lineage: Bacteria; Pseudomonadati; Pseudomonadota
Description: Proteobacteria bacterium tRNA-Ile
Rfam family: tRNA
About the family: Transfer RNA (tRNA) molecules are approximately 80 nucleotides in length. Their secondary structure includes four short double-helical elements and three loops (D, anti-codon, and T loops). Further hydrogen bonds mediate the characteristic L-shaped molecular structure. tRNAs have two regions of fundamental functional importance: the anti-codon, which is responsible for specific mRNA codon recognition, and the 3' end, to which the tRNAs corresponding amino acid is attached (by aminoacyl-tRNA synthetases). tRNAs cope with the degeneracy of the genetic code in two manners: having more than one tRNA (with a specific anti-codon) for a particular amino acid; and 'wobble' base-pairing, i.e. permitting non-standard base-pairing at the 3rd anti-codon position.
Source: RNAcentral